UAGACUUCUGGGAUUGACAGCAGCCUACUGAGCUAGGCUGGCCACCCUGUGUUCCCUGCAGCUACUGUGGAGGGAUCUGACGGCCCCCUUUUAUACCCUGGGGAGCCAACCAAGCCUGCCCCGCCUACACUGUGGUGCUUCCUAGAGAGCUGCUGACCGUGAAGGAAACCCAACAGUAGAGCCCUGCUGGAUCUGACGACAAAGUCCCUUCCAUCAACAGCAGAGUCGGGAGGGACUUGAAGCCUUCUCCCACCAGCUCUCCUGAAGCAUGCAUCCUCACACGAUUCCAGCUGAAGAGGAAUACUCUCCCAAAGUAGGACCACAGCCAGAGCCAUCAGAGAAGCCUCCAGUCAACACAAGAACGGUAUUCAUUAUUUUUCCCUGUGUCCCAUGAGCAUCUGGCUAGUGGACCCAGAUCUGGUGAGAGCAGCUCCCACUGACUGUACUCAGCUCUCUCAAGACCGCUGACCCCUCCUCUUCUAACUCCAUGGUGUGGGCGCCAAUAUUGCUCCUCUGCUUUAUAGGGACAGAGCUCGGCGUCUGUCUUGGAGCAGACCCACCCUCCUGAAUGCCUCAGGUCUGGAACUCACCCACCAUUCAGGAUCUGGUCUUGCCAGGGACCUCCCUGUGGGCCCUGACACAUGGCAGGGUGUGGAGUUCACCCAGACCCUGAAUCAGAAUCUCCAUUUAAACAAGAUUCCCAGAGCUGGAACAUUCUCUGCUGUCUUUAGACCGACCAUGCAAAGGGCACUAAGUAGCUCCUACUUACACCCUGCUCUAUGAGGACACCAAUGUCCCCAAGUCCCUCAGUGUGGAUCUGGAGUCCAGCAAUGAAGAGUGCGGCUGAGUGCCUGAGCUCAGCUCAGGAGGAACCAGGAAGCCUGGAGAAGAGCCUGGGGUGAUGACCUAAGAAGAGUUCAAGGCCAGCCUGGUCUAGAAAUGGUUUAUGGAGGAGGGUCCUCAUCUCCCUCCUCCAGGAACAGCUGAGGACUGAGUUUUUGGAAAGAACCCAGCAGCUGUGUGAGAAGACUUAUACUCCAGGUUUCUUCUAACCGAGGAACCCUGGCCCCGCAGAAGAGAGGAUGGUGUACUAUCAGGCCGGACAACGGCAGAGAUGGAGCCACGGUCAGGGCUGCAGAAGAUGCUGAAAGAGCCCAGUCACGGUCCGUCUUGCCCUGAGGCGCCACUCUCCUUGGCCACCUUUCAUGGUGGCUCAGCCUGCCUGCCUGCCUCUUGGAAGGAAGGUGACCCUGGGUAUAUCUCUCUAGUGUCAAGCCUGUGGCUACAGAACACAUUUAAGUCAGACCCCGACGGUCUUGUCCUCUCAAGUGUCGGUUCUCUUUCAUGGCUCCUCCCCAUCUUCUUCUCUUGGUUUUGGUUUCUGAAGCAAGGUCUUAGUCUAAAGCCCAGGCUGGCCUCAUGCUUGUGAUCCCCCUGCCUGGGGUUUCUGCGCGUUGGAAGCCUGCAUUGCCAUCCCCAGUCCUACACUCUCACGCAGCAAGCACAUCAAAUACUGGAGCAAACGUUAUCUCCAAGUUCCUCAUGGGUCUAAGUAAAGGAAGGCUCAAAAAUGGUUAA
Long non-coding RNA from Mesocricetus auratus (golden hamster), 1578 nucleotides. RefSeq lists it as uncharacterized. The transcript is spliced from 2 exons. NCBI's taxonomy places the organism in Eukaryota, Metazoa, Chordata, Mammalia, Rodentia, Cricetidae. The record is from RefSeq and is a predicted model, not a curated record.